RNAcentral lists this ribosomal RNA (259 nucleotides) under uncultured bacterium. RNAcentral describes it as "partial 16S ribosomal RNA". It matches the Rfam family "Bacterial small subunit ribosomal RNA", at positions 96 to 353 of the family's 1533-position model. The record is from RNAcentral.
CGGCGGACGGGUGAGUAACGCGUGGGUAACCUGCCUCAUACAGGGGGAUAACAGUUGGAAACGGCUGCUAAUACCGCAUAAGCGCACAGUACCGCAUGGUACCGUGUGAAAAACUCCGGUGGUAUGAGAUGGACCCGCGUCUGAUUAGCUAGUUGGUGGGGUAACGGCCUACCAAGGCGACGAUCAGUAGCCGACCUGAGAGGGUGACCGGCCACAUUGGGACUGAGACACGGCCCAAACUCCUACGGGAGGCAGCAUG